GUUGAUCCUGGCUAGAACGAACGCUGGCGGCGCGUUUAAGCAUGCAAGUCGAGCGGCAAGGGCCUUCGGGCCCCUAGAGCGGCGGACGGGUGAGUAACACGUGGACAAUCUGCCCCCCGGCCCGGGAUAGCCCAGGGAAACCUGGAUUAAUACCGGAUGAGACGGGACCCGCGAUGGCGGGACCCGGGAAAGGCGCUGCGGCGCCGCCGGGGGAUGAGUCUGCGUCCCAUUAGCUAGACGGCGGGGUAACGGCCCACCGUGGCGACGAUGGGUAGCCGGCCUGAGAGGGUGGACGGCCACAUUGGAACUGAGACACGGUCCAGACUCCUACGGGAGGCAGCAGCUAAGAAUCUUCCGCAAUGGGCGAAAGCCUGACGGAGCCGACGCCGCGUGAACGAAGAAGGCCGUGAGGUUGUAAAGUUCUUUUCGGGAGGGGGAACAACCGUGGCAGGGAAUGGCCGCGGGAUGACGUGAAUCCCGGAAUAAGCCCCGGCUAACUACGUGCCAGCCGCAGC
This 515-nucleotide ribosomal RNA is filed under the name uncultured bacterium. RNAcentral describes it as "bacterial SSU rRNA". It matches the Rfam family "Bacterial small subunit ribosomal RNA", at positions 11 to 518 of the family's 1533-position model. The record is from RNAcentral.